GCUGGUCUGGUUUUGAGGUCGUGAUACCAAGGCAACACCAGCUAGCACUCCUCUCCACAUAUUUACAGCAACCAUUUCAGCUACUCAUACCAUUCCUGUCUAAGGAUGGCCCUUCAGAAUACCUGACAUGCUCCAAAAGUGUGUGAAGCAGUGUGAAACUAACUGCCCUUGCACCUCUUUCCUGUGCUCUUCUUUUCACUGCCAAUUCCAACAUGCAAUCAUCUGAAUGGAAAAAGCAUCUUCACAGAGUGCUCUCCUCAGCUAAUCAGAUCCCUUCACACUUCCAUCUGUAACACAGAGACAAAAGAGGCAGGAAGGAGGUGUGCUGGGUUAGGAAUGAAGAUCAGGGUGUCAUCAGUUAAGCCUGGAGCAGAAGCCUGCUGCCAUAAAACAGGUCUUCAUUGAGCGAAGGAGUCACUUUCACAGCAUUCAGCAUCUGAUUAAGCAACUGUUUCUCAUCUGAGUCUGUUUCCACGGAUACAAACCUCUCAUCAGACAGCAGCUUCUGCAGAGAGAAAAUGG
Molecule: long non-coding RNA, 522 nt
Organism: Hirundo rustica (Barn swallow)
Lineage: Eukaryota; Metazoa; Chordata; Aves; Passeriformes; Hirundinidae
Exons: 3
Source: RefSeq, a predicted model, not a curated record